GACAGAGGGUGCAAACGUUGUUCGGAAUUACUGGGCGUAAAGCGCGUGUAGGCGGCUGUGCAAGUCGGAUGUGAAAUCCCGUGGCUCAACCACGGAAGUGCACCCGAAACUGCGCAGCUGGAGUCUCGGAGAGGAAGGUGGAAUGCUUGGUGUAGAGGUGAAAUUCGUAGAUAUCAAGCGGAACACCGGUGGCGAAGGCGGCCUUCUGGACAGUGACUGACGCUGAGACGCGAAAGCGUGGGGAGCAAACAGG
This 253-nucleotide ribosomal RNA is filed under the name uncultured bacterium. RNAcentral's name for it is "partial 16S ribosomal RNA". It matches the Rfam family "Bacterial small subunit ribosomal RNA", at positions 524 to 776 of the family's 1533-position model. The record is from RNAcentral.